GACGAACGCUGGCGGCGCGCCUAACACAUGCAAGUCGAGCGAUGAAACUUUAACAGCACCCUUCGGGGCGAAGAUAAAGUGGAUUAGCGGCGGACGGGUGAGUAACACGUGAGUAACCUGCUUCAGACAUGGGGAUAGCCUCGGGAAACCGGGAUUGAUACCAAAUAAAAUCACAAUGACACAUGUCAUAACGAUCAAAACUCCGGUGGUCUAAGAUGGACUCGCGUCCCAUUAGCUAGUUGGUAGAGUACAGGCCUACCAAGGCGACGAUGGGUAGCCGGCCUGAGAGGGUGAACGGCCACACUGGAACUGAGAAACGGUCCAGACUCCUACGGGAGGCAGCAGUGGGGAAUAUUGCACAAUGGCGGGAACUCUGAUGCAGCGACGACGCGUGAACGAAGAAGGCUUUAGAGUCGUAAAGUUAUUUUAUAUGGGACGAUAAUGACGGUACCAUAAGAAAAAGCCCCGGCUAACUACGUG
Molecule: ribosomal RNA, 480 nt
Filed under: uncultured bacterium
Lineage: Bacteria
Description: partial 16S ribosomal RNA
Rfam family: Bacterial small subunit ribosomal RNA
Source: RNAcentral